This 6218-nucleotide long non-coding RNA is filed under the name Brassica rapa (field mustard). RNAcentral describes it as "long non-coding RNA (BRAP_LNC008805)". The record is from RNAcentral. Lineage: Eukaryota; Viridiplantae; Streptophyta; Magnoliopsida; Brassicales; Brassicaceae.
AAAGGCUGUACGUUCCCAAGCAAGAGAGAAGGAGCCGAUCUAACACAAGGGUGAUCCGGAUGGACUGAUCUAAUCAACCAAGGGAUCUGAACUGGAACUGUAUGAUGGGAUGAAGUGCACCACACGAGAGAUGGGGAGGCUCGUGAUACAACACAAGGUUCCUCUAGGCCGUGGAGGUACUGGUCUCACAAGGCAAAGAGAAGGAGGCGAGUUCUAGCUUGAGAGCUCUAGGGUUUUCUUUAAAAGAAAAGUUUAUGAUUAUUCAAAGUCUGCCCCAAAAGUGGGCUUGCGAAAACAUAUAAAUAGGACUAAGGGAACAGGCUCCACUUAGGUCACGAAAGUACAAAUAAGGAAACAAACUAUAAUGUAAAACAUGAAAUAAGGUCAUGAGGCUUCUUAGCCUUGGAUCGAACUUGGCACUUGGGAUAAGUGUGAAGCAAGUUGUGGCCUCGUUAAAAACCUUCUCUGGAAAACCCAUUUGGGACAAAACCAAGAGUAAGGGAAAAAGAGCACACACAAAGAGCUUGGCCUAGUUGCUAGAUUCGUCCAAGAGACUUGCUAGGCAAGUUGAUCUUCCAUGGUAAUGAUCAUCAGGUUGGUGUGGCAUUGCUCCGGGAUGAAUGGCCACAUAUCCUCACUUGAUGCUUGUUUCUCCUUAACCGGUUCUGCAUCCUUUAGUUCAUCUUGCUUCAAGCUUGGUUCACCAGCCAGUUUAACCUGUCCAAGAUCAGAAGCAAGUAUCAUGCUCUCAUUAAAUUUAUGUUGAAGUACCUUAGCUCUUUGUCUAGUGAUAGCUCCCUUGAAUACGGUUGGUACUGGCACUUCUUGGACUGUCUCUGAUUUGGUUAUGUUGCUGAUCAUGUCCUGGAUAUCAGGUUCAGUUAAGUCUGGUUCCGGCUCUGGUUGAAUAUCCUCAUCAUUCCCUCCCUCUUCAAAAGGUUUUGACCUCAAAACUGGUUCAUCUGCAAAACAAGGAGAUAGAUCAGUAACAUUGAAAGUAGAAGACACAUUCAACUCACCUGGCAGAUCAAGACGGUAGGCAUUGUUGUUGAUCCUCUCAACAACUUGAAAUGGGCCGUCCCCUCUUGGCUUCAGCUUGGAACUUCUCUGGUUAGGAAACCUUUCUUGCCGCAUGUGUAACCAAACCCACUCCCCUGGUUCAAAUACAAUGUCCUUGCGGCCCUUGUUGGCAUGUUUAGUGUACUGCUCAGUCCUCUUCUCUAAAUUCUCUUGAACCUUCUGAUGGAGUUCUUUGACAUAAGCAGCUUUAGCUUCCCCGGUAAGACUGACAACUUCAGCUGGGGGUAAUGGUUUAAGAUCCAAAGGGGUUUUCGGGUUGAACCCAUAGGCUGCCUCAAAGGGGGACAUCUUAGUGGCUGAAUGCUGAGCUCGGUUGUAUGCAAAUUCGAUGAAUGGAAUACAAUCAACCCAAUUCUUCAUGUUCUUCCCAAUGGUUGCCCUAAGCAGCGUAGAGAGCGUCCUGUUGACAACUUCAGUCUGCCCAUCAGUUUGGGGAUGGCAAGUAGUAGAGAAUAGCAACUUUGUUCCCAACUUCUUCCAUAGUGUUCUCCAAAAGUGGCUGAGGAACUUGGUGUCUCGGUCAGAUACAAUAGUCCUUGGCACCCCAUGUAAGCGCACUACCUCCUUAAAGAACAGAUCAGCAGUUUUGGACGCAUCAUUCACCUUGGCACAAGGUAUGAAGUGUGCCAUUUUGGAGAAUCUGUCCACGACAACAAAGAUUGAAUCCUUGUGAUGAAUUUUUGGUAAUCCUAGGACAAAAUCCAUGGAGAUGUCUACCCAAGGAGCUGUAGGAAUCGGCAGUGGCAUGUAAAGGCCAUGAGGCUGGACUCUAGACUUAGCCUUCUUGCAAGUCACACAUCUGGCGCAAUGAGAUUCUACUGAUUUCUUAAGAUGCGGCCAAUAGAAAUGUUCCCUGACCACAGCAAGUGUCUUAUCUACUCCAAAGUGACCCAUGAGCCCUCCUCCGUGAGCCUCUCUAGUGAUUAGAUCUCUCAAGGAGCAUUGAGGAAUGCAUAAUCUCCUGCCCUUGAAAAGAAAUCCCUCAUGCAAGUAGAACUUUCCUUGUGGUCCUUUGGUGCAACUUGAGUAGAUAGCAGCAAGAUCCGGAUCUUCUCCGUACAAACUUUUGAUGAACUCAAAUCCCAACACCUUUGCUUCCAUGGUUGCAAUCAAAGCAUAUCUCCUGGAGAGUGCAUCUGCUACAAUGUUCUCCUUGCCCUUCUUAUACUUGAUAAUGUAGGGAAAUGUCUCAAUAAACUCUAACCAGCGAGCAUGUCUCCUCUUGAGAUUGGUUUGCCCUCUUAGAUGUUUAAGGGUUUCAUGGUCAGUGUGUACCACGAAUUCUUUAGACAGCAGGUAGUGCUGCCAUGUCUCCAAAGCUCUCACCAAGGCAUACAACUCUUUAUCAUAGGUCGGAUAAUUAAGAGCUGCUCCACCAAGCUUCUCACUGAAGUAAGCCACGGGUUUUCCUUCUUGAAUAAGAACUGCCCCUAUCCCAAUCCCUGAUGCAUCACAUUCUACUUCAAAGGUCUUAUUGAAGUCGGGUAAGACCAGUACUGGUGCAUGGGUCAGGCGAUACUUCAAGGUCUGAAAGGCUUCCUGUUGAGCUUUUUCCCAAAUGAACCCAAUACUCUUCUUCACCACAGCAGUAAGGGGUGCAGCUAUACUACUGAAAUCCUUGACAAACCGCCUGUAGAAGCUAGCUAGGCCAUGGAAACUUCUAACUUGGCUGAUGUUUGUUGGAGUCGGCCACUCUUGAAUGGCCUUAACCUUCUCUUCAUCAACCUGUAAGCCCUGUGAACUCACAACAAAACCUAGGAAGACAAGUUUAUCAGUGCAGAAUGUGCACUUCUUGAGGUUUGCAUAAAGCCCUUCUUGUCGAAGUGUCUCUAGUACUUGCUCAAGAUGUGUCACAUGAUCAAGUAAACUAGUACUGUAAAUUAAAAUGUCAUCGAAAUAAACCACAACAAACUUACUGAUGUAUGGCCUAAGAAUGUGGUUCAUGAGACGCAUGAAAGUACUAGGAGCAUUGCUAAGUCCAAAUGGCAUCACCAACCAUUCAUAUAGACCUUGCUUUGUUUUAAAAGCUGUCUUCCACUCAUCUCCCUCUUUCAUUCUUACCUGAUGGUACCCACUCUUAAGAUCAAUCUUGGAGAAGAUGGUGGCUCCGCUUAGCUCAUCUAACAUGUCAUCAAGCCGUGGGAUGGGGUGUCUAUACUUGAUGGUGAUGUUGUUGAUGGCUCGGCAGUCUACACACAUUCUCCAUGUCCCGUCCUUCUUUGGUACAAGUAAGACAGGCACAGCGCAAGGACUGAGACUCUCCCUCACGUAUCCUUUGUCUAAUAGGUCCUGCACUUGUCUCUCCAACUCCUUAGUCUCUUCCGGGUUCACCCUAUAAGCCGGUUUGUUUGGCAGGGCAGCUCCUGGCACAAAAUCUAUCUGGUGCUCAAUGCCUCGGAGUGGGGGUAAACCGUGCGGAAUCUCCUCUGGAAACACAUCUUUGAACAUGUCAAGAAGCUUAGUAAUCUCUGGAUGAAGAGUUAACUCAUCAGAACCUGCACUCAAAAGCUCCUUAAAGAUCAUUAGUAGCAUUGUGUGUUUGGUAGUAGCAGCCUUUCUUACACAGCUAGAACGGAUAAGAAAGUUUGAUUUAACAGACUUUUCCUUUUCCUUAACCAUUUGCAAAUGAAUUUCAUGAACUUGUGUUGGAGUGAGAGGCGCUAAGCUUAUCUUACGCUUAUCAUGCAUGAAUGUAUACAUAUUAGUUCUACCAUCAUGCUUAGUUUCUCUAUCCCACUGCCAUGGUCUUCCUAGCAAUACAUGUCCAGCUUGCAUAGGGACUACGUCACAAACUACUUCAUCUUGAUACUUACCAAUGCUAAAUGGAAUGCUCACUUGUUCCUUAAUUUUAAGCUCAACCUUAUCAUCUAACCACCUUAGCCUAUAUGGAUGCGGAUGCUUUGUCUUUUCUAAACCAAGUUUUUCUACCAUGUAAGCGCUAGCAGCAUUGGUACAAGACCCACCAUCUAUAAUAAGGUUACAUACCUUGCCUUUUAUGGUGCAACGGCUGUGGAAUAUGUUUUCUCUUUGGAUUGUCUCGGCGGGUUGAACUAAGACGCUAAGCACACGUCGGAUCAUCAAGCUCUCUCCCACAUCAGCAUAUUCAACUUCUCCAUACUCUUCUUGAAUCUCAGGUACUUCUCCUUCAUCACGAGAUUCAUAGCCAUCAUCGGUGAGCAGCAUAACCCUCUGGUUUGGGCACUCUCUUGCCAUGUGCCCUCGGCCUCUACAUUUGAAACAGGUGAUGUCUCUGGCACGUUGGGGGUUGGUAGCUUUGGCUGGCUCGGUUUUGUUGUCCUUCGUGGGUUCGGUGGUGCGAGGCUUAGGCCGGCUGUCUCCUUCAACCCCUUUUCCUUUGUCCACCGACUUGUUGUAGUUGCUAUUGCUUGAAUUCCAAGAAACUUGAGACUUGCCCUUGGAGCUCUUCUUCUUGAUGUGUUGUUCAGCUUGGAUAGCUAGAUGGAACAGGUCCUUCAUGUCAGCAUAAACAUGUCUCUCCACCUUGCAGCUUAUCCUCUCCUGUAAACCAUCAAGGAAUUGAGCCAUGGUAGCUUCCUCAUCUUCAUUAAGGUCCAAACGGUUUCUUAAUUUCUCAAACUCUUCAUAGUACUCUUCCACUGACUUGCUGCCUUGCUUGAGUGCCCGUAACUUCCUUUGCAAGUCUCUGUGAAAGUGUUGUGGCACAAACCGUUGCUUCAUCGCAUCUUUCAUGUCUAGCCAAGAGUCUAGUUGCCUCAAUCCGUUCCUUCUCCUAUCGGAGCACAAUCUAUCCCACCAGGAAAGUGCAUUGUCCGUGAGCUGAGCUACUGCCAAAGCAACUCUUUUAGGACCAGGGUGGUUAUAGUAGGCAAAAAUGUGAUCCAUCCUUUUCUCCCAGUCUAGGUAAGCUUCUGGAUCAACCUUCCCCGCAUAGCCGGGAGCAUUCAUCUUGAUGUGCUCUGGCCCUUGGUUAUAGUUUUGUUGGCGUGGGGCUCGGUGUUGAGGUAGGAGUUCCUCUUCUUCAAACCCUUGGUGCCGGUUUUGCCUGCGUGGAGCUCGGGGUUGAGGUGCAAACCCUUCCUCCUCUUCUUCUUCACCAUAGUCAUCUGGUGGCAACCCUGCUCUCUGGUUUGGUAUUGGACCGUGCUGCUGUCCCGUGUCUUCAUCAGUCUGCUGGUUCCGGGUGCUAGUCUCCGGGUUGUCAUGGACGGGCACUCCAUAUCUUCUGUUGUUUGGAUUCAAGAACCUAUCAACGUUCCGUACUGGUUGCAAAGGAGGAGGUCUUUGCUCAACUCUAGUCAUCCUUUCCCCAAGGUCUUGCCGCAUAACCCUCAUCUCUUCUCUCAAAGCGUUGAGGACUUGCAUCAUGGUAGCUUGCUCACUCGCUUCUCCCAUGUAUGCGGUUGAGUUGUACCUUGCAAGAUAAACAAGAGAUGCCUUAGCUUUUCAAUAGGUAAAUAAGAAAGAAAACGAGAAAGAAAAGAUACAAAUUUCCUUUUUUUGUUUUUUUUUAUAAAUUCGAAUAGGCAAUAGACACUAAUAAAAGCUGUAGUAGUAAUAGAAUUGGAAAGACUUGGAAAAGGUGAUCGACCGGGAAGGAAACAAUUUGAAAACUCUUUGCAAAAAUGGAAACCGAAUUAUGCAAUCCUAGCAACACGUUUUUAUUUUUUUUUUUUUUUUUUGACUUGAUGAAGAUUAAAACUAAGCAGAACAGGAUGUAACAAUCGGAUGCAAGCAAGAUGUGAAGAAAACAACUAAGUGCAACAAUGAAACGCGAUCUCUUUAUUUGGUUUUAUGAUUUCAUGAAAGCAGAAACAAUGAAUCACAAAUCGGAUGCAAAUAGAAGAGACAAGGAUAGAUAUAACCUGAUGCUGAAGGAACUUCAGCUCUGAUACCAGAAAUGAUACAAGCCUAAGCUAUCAAAGGCUGUACGUUCCCAAGCAAGAGAGAAGGAGCCGAUCUAACACAAGGGUGAUCCGGAUGGACUGAUCUAAUCAACCAAGGGAUCUGAACUGGAACUGUAUGAUGGGAUGAAGUGCACCACACGAGAGAUGGGGAGGCUCGUGAUACAACACAAGGUUCCUCUAGGCCGUGGAGGUACUGGUCUCACAAGGCAAAGAGAAGGAGGCGAGUUCUAGCUUGAGAGCUCUAGGGUUUUC